UGAGGAAUAUUGGUCAAUGGGCGGGGAGCCUGAACCAGCCAAGCCGCGUGAGGGAAGAAGGUACAGCGUAUCGUAAACCUCUUUUUGUUCAGGGAACAAAGGCGGGGACUAGUCCCCGGAUGAGGGUACCUGAAGAAAAAGCAUCGGCUAACUCCGUGCC
This 160-nucleotide ribosomal RNA is filed under the name uncultured bacterium. Its description in RNAcentral is "partial 16S ribosomal RNA". It matches the Rfam family "Bacterial small subunit ribosomal RNA", at positions 355 to 509 of the family's 1533-position model. The record is from RNAcentral.